AUGCAGUCGCGCGAAUCCCAGCAAUGGGGGAAGCGGCGUAAGGGGCAGUUAGGCGUGGGUAACCUACCCCGGGGCCUGGGAUAGCCCGUCGAGAGACGGGGUAAUACCGGGCGACGUGGUUCGGUGGCAUCGUCGGAUCACCAAAGGUCCGCCGCCCCGGGAGGGGCCCACGUGGUAUUAGCUAGUUGGUGGGGUAACGGCCCACCAAGGCGUAGAUGCCUAGCGGGUGUGAGAGCACGACCCGCGCCACUGGCACUGAGACACUGGCCAGACACCUACGGGUGGCUGCAGUCGAGGAUCUUCGGCAAUGGGGGCAACCCUGACCGAGCGACGCCGCGUGGAUGACGAAGGCCUUCGGGUUGUAAAAUCCUGUCGAGGGGGAGGAAAGGCAACUUGACCUAUCCCUGGAGGAAGCUCGGGCUAAGUUNNGUGNCAGCAGCCGCGGUAAGANCNAACCGAGCGAACGUUGUUCGGAAUCACUGGGG
This 485-nucleotide ribosomal RNA is filed under the name uncultured bacterium. RNAcentral's name for it is "bacterial SSU rRNA". It matches the Rfam family "Bacterial small subunit ribosomal RNA", at positions 55 to 559 of the family's 1533-position model. The record is from RNAcentral.